This is a non-coding RNA of Cinara cedri, 1385 nucleotides long. Lineage: Eukaryota; Metazoa; Arthropoda; Insecta; Hemiptera; Aphididae. The record is from the annotation of a GenBank genome assembly.
UUCAUAAACACUUUUUUUUUUUUUUAUUGAAAAGAAAAAAAAAUGCUUCGACUUCUGGAGUUAUUAGCCUUGUGUACAUGUUAUUUUGUGUAUGUUACAUUAAUACCUAAGUUUGAAUAUACAAGUUAAAAAAUUUAACACUUUUUUUAUUUUACAUUAUUUUAUGAUUAUUUACACUGUUAAUUUUUGUAAGAAAAUUGAAGAUUUUUAUGGAGUUGCCUUCGUUUAGUACUAUUUCUAAUCGGUCUGCUGUUGAUGAGGGGUUUCGAAUGUUUUGAAAAUCUGAAUAGACUUGGAUGAUGUGUUUGAUGGUUAAGUCUUCUUGGCAUUUAUUACGCAUUGGUGUUGAAUCUUUACUAAUUGUGAAUGAAUGGGCCAAAAAUGUCAUAUUGCAUAUUAUGCCGUAAUAUAGUGUAUUUUUUUAUCCUUUUAAUUUGUUGGAAGGCUGAACAGAAUUCCAAUAACUUAGCCAUACCAUAUAUACAUUUUUUUUAAUCUGGACGGAAUUGGUAAUUGAUAUAUAGAUAGAUUUAUAUUUAUCUCUUUUUCACCCUAGACGGAAUUGGUAUAAAAAAGGUUGUUGAUAUGAAACACGGAUACAGCCGUUAAAAUGUUAAAUACUUUAAUUUGUAUUAUAAUGUUUUAAUCGCAAAUGUUCGAAAAUCUUUUCUUUUUUUUUAUAAUUGGUAAAUAUAGUAUACUAAUGGUUUAUCGUUGCUUUUAGGUGUACAUUAAAUAUAACAGUGGCUGCAUUCGUCCUCAUCCUAAGACGUCUUUUUUCAAAUUCAGUUUUCACAAAAAAGUUUUUCAUAAUGUUUUUAUGUUUUUAAUGAAUUUUUUUUUGGAGGGGUUGGGCUUUAGAUAUUAAAUUAAUUUAGAUAUUUUAACUGCCGGUAACAUGAAACCAAUUAAAGACUCGUUUAAGGAUCGUUGAAAAAUUAUACAUUUUUUUUUGAUGCUCCGAAACGAAAUACUGUACUUCCGUCAAGUAUUGAAAAUAGUAGUAUUUGUCUAAAAGUAAAAAGUACUUAAACGACUAUGUGCAAUGGGCUGGGUACAAAGGUAUGAAGCAAAAUCAUUUUACACACGUAUUUAAAAUAUAUAAUUUAUGUGGAACUUUUUGUAAACGUAUUUUAUUGCUUUUAUAGUUAAUGUUUGCAUAUAGGUAAUUUAAAUGAAAUACUUUAGAUCACCUCUAUAUGCAAAUAACCAGAGAAAUUGAAUUGACACAAGCAAUUACCCUAGCUCAAGAUACUGUUAAUCAAUUAACGAUAAUUGGAAAUAAUUGUGAUGACGAAUUUAAAGAUAUAAAUAUGUAACCCGGGACACACAUACGACACACCUGUGUCUAAUAUAAAUUAAAGGUAUGCUUUUGUGGUAGCGUC